AAAACGACUCUCGGCAACGGAUAUCUCGGCUCUCGCAUCGAUGAAGAACGUAGCGAAAUGCGAUACUUGGUGUGAAUUGCAGAAUCCCGUGAACCAUCGAGUCUUUGAACGCAAGUUGCGCCCCAAGCCGUUAGGCCGAGGGCACACCUGCCUGGGUGUCACGC
RNAcentral lists this ribosomal RNA (164 nucleotides) under Acer glabrum. RNAcentral describes it as "5.8S ribosomal RNA". It matches the Rfam family "5.8S ribosomal RNA". From Rfam's summary of the family: 5.8S ribosomal RNA (5.8S rRNA) is a component of the large subunit of the eukaryotic ribosome. The record is from RNAcentral. Lineage: Eukaryota; Viridiplantae; Streptophyta; Magnoliopsida; Sapindales; Sapindaceae.